CCUACGGGUGGCAGCAGUGAGGAAUAUUUGUCAAUGGGCUUACGCCUGAACCAGCCAAGUCGCGUGAGGGAAGACUGCCCUAUGGGUUGUAAACCUCUUUUGUCAGGGAGCAACGCCUGCUACGUGUAGCCGGACUGAGAGUACCUGAAGAAAAAGCAUCGGCUAACUCCGUGCCAGCAGCCGCGGUAAUACGGAGGAUGCGAGCGUUAUCCGGAUGUAUUGGGUUUAAAGGGUGCGUAGGCGGAAUGCCAAGUCAGCGGUAAAAGCGCGGGGCUCAACCUCGCUCCGCCGUUGAAACUGGCGUUCUUGAGUGGGCGAGAAGUAUGCGGAAUGCGUGGUGUAGCGGUGAAAUGCAUAGAUAUCACGCAGAACUCCGAUUGCGAAGGCAGCAUACCGGCGCCCAACUGACGCUGAAGCACGAAAGCGUGGGUAUCGAGCAGGAUUAGAUACCCCGGUAGUC
Molecule: ribosomal RNA, 460 nt
Filed under: uncultured bacterium
Lineage: Bacteria
Description: partial 16S ribosomal RNA
Rfam family: Bacterial small subunit ribosomal RNA
Source: RNAcentral